AGGGUUUAUGGUGGAUGCCUAGGCGUCCAGAGCUGAUGAAGGACGUGGUUAAGCUGCGAAAAGCUUCGGUGAGUCGCUAAACAGACUUUGACCCGGAGAUGUCCGAAUCCGGAAACGGACUGGGGUAACCCCCAGUAUCCCGCAAGGGAGAGCAACGUGGGGAACUGAAACAUCUAAGUACCCACAGGAAAGGAAAGAAACCUCGAUCCCCCAAGUAGCGGCGAGCGAACGGGGGCCAGUCUAAACCAGUGUAGUGCCAAGGUGACGGCCGUUGCUGCAUUGGUGUCGUGGGACGUACGGAUGUGUCCGUUGACGCAUCAAGGAGUUACAAAUCUUCAAUCUAGUCGAAUGGUAUGGAAAGGCCAGCCGCAGAGGGUGACAGCCCCUUAGGCGAAAGAUUCGGAGACUCCUGUACCCAUCCCAAGUAGCGCCAGACACGUGAAACCUGGUGUGAAUCCGCGGGGACCACCCCGUAAGACUAAGUACUCCUGGACGACCGAUAGCGUAAUAGUAGCGCGAGCGAAAGGUGAAAAGUACCCCUGUUAGGGGAGUGAAAUAGUACCUGAAACCAUAUACCUACAAGCUGUCGAAGGCCUAUGGCCCCUCGGGGCAACGGCUGACGGCGUGCCUUUUGCAUAAUGAUCCGGCGAGUUACGCUGUAUGGCGAGGUUAAGGGUCUAAGGCCCGGAGCCGAAGGGAAACCGAGUGUGAAUAGCGCGAUUUGAGUCAUGCGGCGUAGACCCGAAAGCGAGUGAUCUAUCCAUGGGCAGGCUGAAGCGGAUGUAACAGUCCGUGGAGGGCCGAACGGGUAUAGGUUGAAAACUGUUCCGAUGACCUGUGGAUAGGAGUGAAAGGCUAAUCAAACUCGCAGAUAGCUGGUUCUCCCCGAAAUAGCUUUCGGGCUAGCGUCAGGUAAUUAGCGUGCGGGGGUAGAGACACUGAUUGGGAUAGGGGCCCUUCGGGGUACCCUACUCAGCCAAACUCCGAAUACCGCACGUGGUAUCCUGGCAGUCAGACUAUGGGCGAUAAGGUCCGUGGUCGAGAGGGAAACAGCCCAGACCGCCAGCUAAGGUCCCUAAUGUGUGCUAAGUGCAGAGAAGGAACUGAAGUCUCGAAGACAGCCAGGAUGUUGGCUUAGAAGCAGCCAUCAUUUAAAGAGUGCGUAACAGCUCACUGGUCGAGAGGCUUUGGGCCGAAAAUGAACGGGGCUCAAGUGCACAACCGAAGCUGCGGAUUGCAAGGAGUCGUUGGCUCCUUGCAGUGGUAGGGGAGCGUUCUGACUGGGUGAAGGGCUACGGUAACGAGGCCUGGACGGUUCAGAAGUGAUUAUGCCGGAAUGAGUAACGAUAAAGCAGGUGAGAAUCCUGCUCGCCGAAAACCUAAGGUUUCCUGGGCACGGUAAAUCCGCCCAGGGUUAGUCGGAUCCUAAGGCGAGGCCGAAAGGCGUAGUCGAUGGACAACAGGUUAAUAUUCCUGUACUACCAAAUGCGCGUUAUACCGAUGGGGUGACGCGGGAGGAAACGCAGUCGCACUGACAGAAUAGUGCGUGUAAGCUCGAGGGCGGCAUGUUGGUAAAUCCGCAUGCGUAAACCCGGAAGUGAUGCCGAGUGCUUUGCACGAAGCUGCUGGACUGACCGCCGAGAAAAUCCUCUAGGAAGUUCAUAUGGUAUCCGUACCAAAACUGACACAGGUAGGUGGGAUGAGAAUUCUAAGGCGCUCGAGAGAACCAUUGUUAAGGAACUCGGCAAAUUAGCUCCGUAACUUCGGGAUAAGGAGCGCCCCUCAGUGUGUAGGACUUUACGUCUGAAGCACUAGGGGGCCGCAGUGAAAAGGUGUUGACGACUGUUUACUAAAAACACAGGUCUGUGCUAACUCGUCUAAGAGGCUGUAUACAGACUGACGCCUGCCCAAUGCCGGUAGGUUAAGGGGAGCGGUUAGCGUAAGCGAAGCUGCGAACUGAAGCCCCGGUGAAUGGCGGCCGUAACUAUGACGGUCCUAAGGUAGCGAAGUUCCUUGUCGGGUAAGUUCCGACCCGCACGAAAGGCGUAACGAUUGACACACUGUCUCAACAAUGGACUCGGUGAAAUUGUAGUCGUGGUGAAGAUGCCACGUUCCCGCACCAGGACGGAAAGACCCCGUGAACCUUUACUAUAGCCUGAUAUUGGUAUUUGACAUGGCGUGCGUAGGAUAGGUGGGAGGCGUUGAUUCUGGGCUUUCGGGCCUAGUGGAGCCGUUGGUGAAAUACCACUCUCGUCAUGUUAGGUCUCUAACGCGAUACCGUGAAUCCGGGUCGUGGACAGUUUCAGGUGGGUAGUUUGGCUGGGGCGGUCUCCUCCUAAAAGGUAACGGAGGAGCUCGAUGUUACACUCAGUGCGGUUAGCAAUCGCACGUAGAGCGCAAGGGUAUAAGUGUGACUAACUGCAAGAGACAUAUCUCGCGCAGAUACGAAAGUAGGACCUAGUGAUCCGGUGGAUUCCGAGUGGAAGGGCCAUCGCUUACCAGAUAAAAGGUACUCCGGGGAUAACAGGCUGAUCUCCCCCAAGAGUUCAUAUCGACGGGGAGGUUUGGCACCUCGAUGUCGGCUCGUCGCAUCCUGGGGCUGAAGAAGGUCCCAAGGGUUUGGCUGUUCGCCAAUUAAAGCGGUACGUGAGCUGGGUUUAGACCGUCGUGAGACAGGUCGGUCCCUAUCCGGUGUGGGUGUAGGAUGAUUGCAGAGGUUUUCCCCUAGUACGAGAGGAUUGGGGAGGACGACCCUCUGGUGUACCAGUUAUCACGCUAGUGGUAUCGCUGGGUAGCUACGGUCGGAACGGAUAAGCGCUGAAUGCAUCUAAGCGCGAAGCCUUCUCUAAGACGAGUCAUCCCUAUCAGUCCCCUGGAAGACUACCAGGUUGAUAGGCUGCAAGUGUAAGCACAGCAAUGUGUUCAGCUGAGCAGUACUAAUCGGACGAUUGACUUACCC
RNAcentral lists this ribosomal RNA (2959 nucleotides) under marine metagenome. RNAcentral describes it as "bacterial LSU rRNA". It matches the Rfam family "Bacterial large subunit ribosomal RNA". The record is from RNAcentral.